Molecule: transfer RNA, 61 nt
Filed under: Spilocuscus maculatus
Lineage: Eukaryota; Metazoa; Chordata; Mammalia; Diprotodontia; Phalangeridae
Description: tRNA-Lys
Source: RNAcentral
UAUUUUCAAGAAAACAUAAUACUUUACAGUAUUACAGGAUUUAAAUUAUCCCUUAAAACAU